GAUGAAGAACGUAGCGAAAUGCGAUAAGUAAUGUGAAUUGCAGAAUUCAGUGAAUCAUCGAAUCUUUGAACGCACAUUGCGCCCGCCAGUAUUCUGGCGGGCAUGCCUGUUCGAGCGUCAUUUCAACCAUCAAGCCCCAGGCUUGUGUUGGGGACCUGCGGCUGCCGCAGGCCCUGAAAACCAGUGGCGGGCUCGCUGUCACACCGGGCGUAGUAGAUUUUAUCUCGCUCAGGGCGUGCUGCGGGUUCCGGCCGUUAAAAAGCCUUUUUUACCCAAGGUUGACCUCGGAUCAGGUAGGAAGACCCGCUGAACUUAAGCAUACCAAUAAGCGGAGGA
Molecule: unclassified non-coding RNA, 336 nt
Filed under: soil metagenome
Description: partial contains 5.8S ribosomal RNA, internal transcribed spacer 2, and large subunit ribosomal RNA
Rfam family: 5.8S ribosomal RNA (bases 1-120)
Source: RNAcentral